Molecule: ribosomal RNA, 510 nt
Filed under: uncultured bacterium
Lineage: Bacteria
Description: partial 16S ribosomal RNA
Rfam family: Bacterial small subunit ribosomal RNA
Source: RNAcentral
GACGAACGCUGGCGGCGUGCUUAACACAUGCAAGUCGAACGAAGAGCGAUGGAAGCUUGCUUCUAUCAAUCUUAGUGGCGAACGGGUGAGUAACGCGUAAUCAACCUGCCCUUCAGAGGGGGACAACAGUUGGAAACGACUGCUAAUGCCGCAUACGAUCUGACCUCGGCAUCGAGGAUAGAUGAAAGGUGGCCUCUAUUUAUAAGCUAUCACUGAAGGAGGGGAUUGCGUCUGAUUAGCUAGUUGGAGGGGUAACGGCCCACCAAGGCGAUGAUCAGUAGCCGGUCUGAGAGGAUGAACGGCCACAUUGGGACUGAGACACGGCCCAGACGCCUACGGGAGGCAGCAGUGGGGAAUCUUCCGCAAUGGACGAAAGUCUGACGGAGCAACGCCGCGUGAGUGAUGACGGCCUUCGGGUUGUAAAGCUCGGUUAAUCGGGACGAAAGGCCUUCUUGCGAAUAGUUAGAAGGAUUGACGGUACCGGAAUAGAAAGCCACGGCUAACUACGUG